RNAcentral lists this ribosomal RNA (401 nucleotides) under Chydaeopeza tibialis. RNAcentral's name for it is "partial 12S ribosomal RNA". The record is from RNAcentral. Lineage: Eukaryota; Metazoa; Arthropoda; Insecta; Diptera; Platypezidae.
UCUGGGAUUAGAUACCCUGUUAUUUAAAAUGUAAAUAUAUAUGCCUGAGUAUUAAUAGCUAUGAUCUUUAAACUUAAAAAAUUUGGCGGUAUUUUAGUCUAUUCAGAGGAACCUGUUUUAUAAUCGAUAAUCCACGAUGUACCUCACUUAAUUUUGUUAAUCAGUUUGUAUACCGUUGUUAUAGAAUAUUUUAUUAGAAAAAUAAUUUUCAAUAAUUUUUAUUAAAAGAUAUAUCAGAUCAAGGUGCAGCUUAUAAUUAAGUAAUAAUGGGUUACAAUAAAAAUAUUUAUAUGAAUAUAAUUAUGAAAAAAUUAUUGAAAGUGGAUUUGAUAGUAAAAUUAAAUAGAUUAUUAAUUUGAUUUUAGCUCUAAAAUAUGUACAAAUCGCCCGUCACUCUCUGA